CAGUCGCCGCGGUAAUACAGAGGGUGCAAGCGUUAAUCGGAAUUACUGGGCGUAAAGCGCGCGUAGGUGGUUCGCCAAGUUGGAUGUGAAAUCCCCGGGCUCAACCUGGGAACUGCAUCCAAAACUGGCGAGCUAGAGUAUGGUAGAGGGUGGUGGAAUUUCCUGUGUAGCGGUGAAAUGCGUAGAUAUAGGAAGGAACAUCAGUGGCGAAGGCGACCACCUGGACUGAUACUGACACUGAGGUGCGAAAGCGUGGGGAGCAAACAGGAUUAGAUACCCGCGUAGUCCCUGUCUCUUAUAA
This 301-nucleotide ribosomal RNA is filed under the name uncultured bacterium. RNAcentral describes it as "partial 16S ribosomal RNA". It matches the Rfam family "Bacterial small subunit ribosomal RNA", at positions 509 to 809 of the family's 1533-position model. The record is from RNAcentral.